CAAUUCUCCUUUCCUAAUUAAUCCCAUAUCAAAUAGUGGUGAGUGCAAAUAUUCAAGUUGGACUGUAAAAUAUUCUAUAUAAUAUUUUCAUUAUUUCAUUUCAAAACAAUGGUUGCUUCAGUCUCUCUUUAUUUUUGUAUUAAAACUAUAAAAUAAUGAAAAUUUUUACUUGAUGUAAAAUUUUACCCAAAAUUAAAUCAAUGCAUUUCAAAUUUCAUGAAUUUUUCUGAACACAGCAUAUGUUCA
Molecule: long non-coding RNA, 246 nt
Filed under: Carica papaya (papaya)
Lineage: Eukaryota; Viridiplantae; Streptophyta; Magnoliopsida; Brassicales; Caricaceae
Description: long non-coding RNA (CPAP_LNC015413)
Source: RNAcentral